Molecule: ribosomal RNA, 2357 nt
Filed under: Providencia stuartii
Lineage: Bacteria; Pseudomonadati; Pseudomonadota; Gammaproteobacteria; Enterobacterales; Morganellaceae
Description: partial 23S ribosomal RNA
Rfam family: Bacterial large subunit ribosomal RNA
Source: RNAcentral
GGGUGACUGCGUACCUUUUGUAUAAUGGGUCAGCGACUUAUAUUCUGUAGCAAGGUUAACCGAAUAGGGGAGCCGUAGGGAAACCGAGUCUUAACUGGGCGAAUGAGUUGCAGGGUAUAGACCCGAAACCCGGUGAUCUAGCCAUGGGCAGGUUGAAGGUUGGGUAACACUAACUGGAGGACCGAACCGACUAAUGUUGAAAAAUUAGCGGAUGACUUGUGGCUGGGGGUGAAAGGCCAAUCAAACCGGGAGAUAGCUGGUUCUCCCCGAAAGCUAUUUAGGUAGCGCCUCGUGAACUCAUCUUCGGGGGUAGAGCACUGUUUCGGCUAGGGGGUCAUCCCGACUUACCAACCCGAUGCAAACUACGAAUACCGAAGAAUGUUAUCACGGGAGACACACGGCGGGUGCUAACGUUCGUCGUGAAGAGGGAAACAACCCAGACCGCCAGCUAAGGUCCCAAAGUCAUGGUUAAGUGGGAAACGAAGUGGGAAGGCUCAGACAGCCAGGAUGUUGGCUUAGAAGCAGCCAUCAUUUAAAGAAAGCGUAAUAGCUCACUGGUCGAGUCGGCCUGCGCGGAAGAUGUAACGGGGCUAAACCAUGCACCGAAGCUGCGGCAGCGACAUGUAAAUGUUGUUGGGUAGGGGAGCGUUCUGUAAGCCUGUGAAGGUGUGCUGCGAGGCAUGCUGGAGGUAUCAGAAGUGCGAAUGCUGACAUAAGUAACGAUAAUGCGGGUGAAAAACCCGCACGCCGGAAGACCAAGGGUUCCUGUCCAACGUUAAUCGGGGCAGGGUGAGUCGACCCCUAAGGCGAGGCAGAAAUGCGUAGUCGAUGGGAAACAGGUUAAUAUUCCUGUACUGGUGAUAAUUGCGAUGGGGGGACGGAGAAGGCUAGGCUGGCCGGGCGACGGUUGUCCCGGUUUAAGGAUGUAGGUGGGCGAAUUAGGCAAAUCCGGUUCGCUAUACACUGAGGUCUGAUGACGAGUCACUACGGUGGCGAAGUAGCUCAUGCCCCGCUUCCAGGAAAAGCCUCUAAGCUCUAGAUUAUCAUUAAUCGUACCCCAAACCGACACAGGUGGUCAGGUAGAGAAUACUCAGGCGCUUGAGAGAACUCGGGUGAAGGAACUAGGCAAAAUGGUGCCGUAACUUCGGGAGAAGGCACGCUGGCAUUAGGUGAAGUGGUUUACCCAUGGAGCCGAAGCCAGUCGCAGAUACCAGCUGGCUGCAACUGUUUAUUAAAAACACAGCACUGUGCAAACACGAAAGUGGACGUAUACGGUGUGACGCCUGCCCGGUGCUGGAAGGUUAAUUGAUGGGGUUAUCCGUAAGGAGAAGCUCUUGAUCGAAGCCCCAGUAAACGGCGGCCGUAACUAUAACGGUCCUAAGGUAGCGAAAUUCCUUGUCGGGUAAGUUCCGACCUGCACGAAUGGCGUAAUGAUGGCCAGGCUGUCUCCACCCGAGACUCAGUGAAAUUGAACUCGCUGUGAAGAUGCAGUGUACCCGCGGCAAGACGGAAAGACCCCGUGAACCUUUACUAUAGCUUGACACUGAACAUUGAGCCUUGAUGUGUAGGAUAGGUGGGAGGCUUUGAAGUGUGGACGCCAGUCUGCAUGGAGCCAACCUUGAAAUACCACCCUUUAAUGUUUGAUGUUCUAACGUUGCCCCAUAAUCUGGGGUGCGGACAGUGUCUGGUGGGUAGUUUGACUGGGGCGGUCUCCUCCCAAAGCGUAACGGAGGAGCACGAAGGUUGGCUAAGCAUGGUCGGACAUCAUGCGGUUAGUGCAAAGGCAUAAGCCAGCUUGACUGCGAGAGUGACGGCUCGAGCAGGUACGAAAGUAGGUCUUAGUGAUCCGGUGGUUCUGAAUGGAAGGGCCAUCGCUCAACGGAUAAAAGGUACUCCGGGGAUAACAGGCUGAUACCGCCCAAGAGUUCAUAUCGACGGCGGUGUUUGGCACCUCGAUGUCGGCUCAUCACAUCCUGGGGCUGAAGUAGGUCCCAAGGGUAUGGCUGUUCGCCAUUUAAAGUGGUACGCGAGCUGGGUUUAGAACGUCGUGAGACAGUUCGGUCCCUAUCUGCCGUGGGCGUUGGAAGAUUGAAAGGGGCUGCUCCUAGUACGAGAGGACCGGAGUGGACGCACCGCUGGUGUUCGGGUUGUCAUGCCAAUGGCACUGCCCGGUAGCUAAGUGCGGAAGAGAUAACCGCUGAAAGCAUCUAAGCGGGAAACUUGCCUUGAGAUGAGUCUUCCCUGACUCUUUAAGGGUCCUAAAGGAACGUUUAAGACGAAGACGUUGAUAGGCUGGGUGUGUAAGCGUAGCGAUACGUUGAGCUAACCAGUACUAAUGAACCGUGAGGCUUAACCUG